Molecule: long non-coding RNA, 1233 nt
Organism: Mercenaria mercenaria
Lineage: Eukaryota; Metazoa; Mollusca; Bivalvia; Venerida; Veneridae
Exons: 4
Source: RefSeq, a predicted model, not a curated record
GCAUAAGACGUAUUACAGCACAGCGUUAUAUUUUACGUUUACGUCACUGAUGUUAACAGGAUUCGGAAACGUGUCACCAAAUACCAAUGGAAUUGACAUGGCGGUUUGUUUGUACAGACGUUCUGUGAAUCAAGUAGUUUACCGGUGAUGACAUUCGGGGAUUUCCGUGAGAUUACGUAAUUCUCCGUGUGUGAUAUCGGAAUCCUUCUGUCAUGAUAGGUAAAGAUGAUAUAUUUGGUGGUGACUGCAGUGACGUGGAAUGCUCGGGAAAAUCGUUCUAUUUUGUACGUGCCCUUAGUUACUGUGAUAUUGACAAGAUAGAGUUACACGUGCUGAAAGAAACAAUGGAUAUAUAACCAGAAUUUUCAAAAAGAAUGAAUGGGUAAAAUACAAGUGACAUUCAAUCUUAAGCUCGACGAAUGGGACCACAGAUCGGAGAAGAUGAGCCGACGUCUGGAGCAUUCAAAUUUUCUCCGCUACCAGCAAGUAGUGGUAUAGAUACGGCGUUCAAAGACAGAUCAGUCAAGACUACUGGGUGAUGAACAGUUGACGUUCAGAAAGAGAAUGUUUCAUUUUCUUCAUCAAAUUCCAGCCGGUACGUCAACGCCACAGUGUGUUUUCGGUGUAUCUAUAUAAGGUCAUUCUUGGAAACAUCAGACAGUUGAGCGCCCUCUGGUAGCCGGCGCAUUACCAGCUUUGAGCGCCCUCUGAUAGUCGGCGCAUUUCCUGGAAGCUGGUGAUACAGCGCCAUCUGGAAAAAAAUGAGACAGACGUCGCUGUCUAACCUCGAGGAAAUCGACUGCAAGUGAAACUAUUUAGCAAAGUAUACGAAUAUAAAAUGGAUUUUUAAGAUCUGCAUGUUCCUUGUUGAAGAAAUUUCAUGUAACAUGGUGCUGCCUUCCAGCCGCAUUGAAAUUAUAAAUAUGAGAUUAGUAUUUUGUAUUUUCACAUCCUAAAUGAAAUUCAGCAGCGUUAAAGACACGCCUCAAAAUAACUGUCUUUUUUUUUUAUUUCAGUGAUGGUAAACAUACCUAAUUUGCAUGAAACAUAUUAGAUAUACAAGAAUUUAGUUUCAAAUUGACAGUGACAUAUAUUAAGCCAAGACGAUGAGUUAAAUGUCUUAAUAUUUUAUUGUAUUAAUGUAGCAAUAUGUACAUAAGUCAGUGUAUUUAGUUAAAUUUCAAUCACAUUUUGUUUCUACAGUGUAAGGUAGAUAAUCAUCUGUAUUCUUAG